AUACGGAGGGUGCAAGCGUUACUCGGAAUCACUGGGCGUAAAGCGCGCGCAGGCGGCCAUUUAAGUUGGAUGUGAAAGCCUACGGCUCAACCGUAGAACUGCAUCCAAAACUAUUUGGCUAGAGUGUGGGAGAGGAAGAUGGAAUUAGUUGUGUAGGGGUAAAAUCCGUAGAGAUAACUAGGAAUACUAAAAGCGAAGGCAAUCUUCUGGAACACUACUGACGCUGAGGCGCGAAAGCGUGGGGAGCAAACGGGAUUAGAUACCCUAGUAGUCC
Molecule: ribosomal RNA, 274 nt
Filed under: uncultured bacterium
Lineage: Bacteria
Description: partial 16S ribosomal RNA
Rfam family: Bacterial small subunit ribosomal RNA
Source: RNAcentral